GAUCCUGGCUCAGAGCGAACGCUAGCGGCAGGCUUAACACAUGCAAGUCGAACGAAGUUCUUCGGAACUUAGUGGCGAACGGGUGAGUAACACGUAGGUAAUGUACCCUUUGGUGGAGGAUAACUCAGGGAAACCUGAGCUAAUACUGCAUAUGUCCUUCGGGAUAAAAGUCUUCGGACGCCUUAGGAGCAGCCUGCGGCCCAUUAUCUAAUCCUAGUUGGUAGGGUAACGGCCUACCAAGGGUACGAUGGGUAGCUGGUCUGAGAGGAUGAUCAGCCACACUGGGACUGAGACACCGGCCCAGACUCCUACGGGAGGCAGCAGGUGGGGAAUAUUGGACAAUGGGGGAAACCCUGAUCCAGCAAUGCCGCGUGAAUGAAGAAGGCCUUAGGGUUGUAAAAUUCUUUUGUUCGUGAAGAUAAUGACGGUAGCGGACGAAUAAGCCCUGGCUAACUCUGUG
Molecule: ribosomal RNA, 460 nt
Filed under: uncultured bacterium
Lineage: Bacteria
Description: bacterial SSU rRNA
Rfam family: Bacterial small subunit ribosomal RNA
Source: RNAcentral